This 253-nucleotide ribosomal RNA is filed under the name uncultured bacterium. RNAcentral describes it as "partial 16S ribosomal RNA". It matches the Rfam family "Bacterial small subunit ribosomal RNA", at positions 524 to 776 of the family's 1533-position model. The record is from RNAcentral.
UGCGUAGGGUGCAAGCGUUGUCCGGAAUUAUUGGGCGUAAAGAGCUCGUAGGCGGUCUGUUGCGUCGGCUGUGAAAACCCGGGGCUCAACUCCGGGCCUGCAGCCGAUACGGGCAGACUAGAGUUCGGCAGGGGAGACUGGAAUUCCUGGUGUAGCGGUGAAAUGCGCAGAUAUCAGGAGGAACACCGGUGGCGAAGGCGGGUCUCUGGGCCGAUACUGACGCUGAGGAGCGAAAGCGUGGGGAGCGAACAGG